This 250-nucleotide ribosomal RNA is filed under the name uncultured bacterium. RNAcentral describes it as "partial 16S ribosomal RNA". It matches the Rfam family "Bacterial small subunit ribosomal RNA", at positions 61 to 339 of the family's 1533-position model. The record is from RNAcentral.
GUCGCACGGAGCUUCGGCUCAGUGGCGGACGGGUGAGUAACACGUAGGAACCUGCCCGGAAGUGGGGGAUAACUCCUCGAAAGAGGAGCUAAUACCGCAUGUGGUCUACGGACCAAAGCAGCAAUGCGCUUCUGGAGGGGCCUGCGGUGGAUUAGCUAGUUGGUGGGGUAAUGGCCUACCAAGGCAACGAUCCAUAACUGGUCUGAGAGGACGGCCAGUCACACUGGGACUGAGACACGGCCCAAACUCC